This 565-nucleotide ribosomal RNA is filed under the name uncultured Glomus. RNAcentral's name for it is "SSU rRNA". It matches the Rfam family "Eukaryotic small subunit ribosomal RNA", at positions 546 to 1106 of the family's 1831-position model. Lineage: Eukaryota; Fungi; Glomeromycota; Glomeromycetes; Glomerales; Glomeraceae. The record is from RNAcentral.
AAUUGGAGGGCAAGUCUGGUACCAGCAGCCGCGGUAAUUCCAGCUCCAAUAGCGUAUAUUAAAGUUGUUGCAGUUAAAAAGCUCGUAGUUGAAUUUCGGGAUUGACACAUCGGUCGUGCCUUAAGGGGUAUGAACUGGUGUAGUCAAUUUCUCACCUUCUGGAGAACCGCGAUGCCCUUAAUUGGGUGUCACGGGGAACCAGGACCUUUACUUUGAAAAAAUUAGAGUGUUUAAAGCAGGCAUUUUGCUUGAAUACAUUAGCAUGGAAUAAUAAAAUAGGACGGCAUGAUUCUAUUUUGUUGGUUUCUAGGAUCACCGUAAUGAUUAAUAGGGAUAGUUGGGGGCAUUAGUAUUCAAUUGUCAGAGGUGAAAUUCUUGGAUUUAUUGAAGACUAACUACUGCGAAAGCAUUUGCCAAGGAUGUUUUCAUUAAUCAAGAACGAAAGUUAGGGGAUCGAAGACGAUCAGAUACCGUCGUAGUCUUAACCAUAAACUAUGCCGACUAGGAAUCAGACGAUGUUAAUUUUUUAAUGACUCGUUUGGCACCUUACGGGAAACCAAAGUGU